UGUGUUCAGCCGGAUGCCAACAGCUAAACAGGGAGCUCCUGCACUGGCAGCAUGGCGCAGUUCAUCUGAUAAAUACAACGCAGCGUGGGGGGAAUGAACAGCUACGUGAGGAGAACAAUGAAACAUUGUGGGACCUGCAGGACCCGAGCAGAGCUACGAUGCUUUCCCAGUGUGGCCCAUGGUGAAAUUGAGUUUGAAACCCCUGCCCUAAAGGAUUAUGCCAUCACCAAGCUGAGCCAUCGCAGAACAGUUGCUGUAACAACUUCUUGUCAAAAUGCAUACUCCUAACUUUUCAGCAGACCUGAAAACACUACUACCCUCAACUCAUGUCCCAGGAAUCUCUGAAUCUCUCGGUUGUUACCACCAAGCCAUGCUUUGUCAUUCCCCAGGGCUUACACCAAAUGCCUUGACAGGAGCUUUCUCCACUCUGCUGUAACAACAUGGAACAGCCUUCCCCCUGCUGUCAUCGGUGACAUCACAUCAAGUAGUGUUCAAUCCUUUAAGAAGAGAUUGAAUAAACAUCUCCUCAGCAUGAGAUUGCUAUCCCAAAGCUCAAUGACUUCAAGCAUGCACUAAACAGCUUCAUAUAUAUUCCUGAGUGGCUGCAGAUCAGUGAUAGGCUGUCUGAAUGUAGCUUGUAUCUGCUGAAGAAAUACAAAAUAAAAAUGCUGUCAGUCAAAUCAA
Molecule: long non-coding RNA, 684 nt
Organism: Perca fluviatilis (European perch)
Lineage: Eukaryota; Metazoa; Chordata; Actinopteri; Perciformes; Percidae
Exons: 3
Source: RefSeq, a predicted model, not a curated record